RNAcentral lists this long non-coding RNA (561 nucleotides) under Nicotiana benthamiana. Its description in RNAcentral is "long non-coding RNA (NBEN_LNC013004)". Lineage: Eukaryota; Viridiplantae; Streptophyta; Magnoliopsida; Solanales; Solanaceae. The record is from RNAcentral.
UUUUACUUUUAUUACUUUUUCUUAACCCUACGCCCACUUUACCCAGUAAACAUAAUCGCUCUCCACAUCUCUCCCCUCUCUCUCAGCAUCGUCCCCUUCUUCUCUCUUUUUUACAAUUUUGCUUGUUUUUCUUCUUCUGUUUUCUUUCUCUUUCGUCUCUCUUCCUUCCUAAAAUCCACCCAUUUCUUUCCUCCUUUCUCUCGCCUUAAACCUAAUUGGGCAGUUUUUUCGGGCGGUAGAUCUGGAUGUUUUUCUCUUUUCUGGUCCUAAUGGUGCUUGUGAGUAAGAAUUUUUGUAUAGCAAUUGUUUAUACAUUGUGUAUCAGUAAAUAAACAUUGUGUAACAGUGAAAUUAACAUUGUAUAACACUGAUAUACUUAUGUAUAUUCUUUGUAUAAUAUGUGUAUAAUGUAUAAUUAAUGUAUGUAUAUUCAGCGCAUAAUUUAAGAAUAUACAUGAAGUAUGCACUGAGCAUACAAUGAUUACAUAAUUUAUACCCUGUGGCUAAUGGAGGCCAAAGAUAAAGAAGUUAAGAUAAUGGUAUUUAAGAGUUGCAAUUGGU